GAUGAACGCUGGCGGCGUGCCUAAUACAUGCAAGUCGAGCGAACGGACGAGAAGCUUGCUUCUCUGAUGUUAGCGGCGGACGGGUGAGUAACACGUGGAUAACCUACCUAUAAGACUGGGAUAACUUCGGGAAACCGGAGCUAAUACCGGAUAAUAUUUUGAACCGCAUGGUUCAAAAGUGAAAGACGGUCUUGCUGUCACUUAUAGAUGGAUCCGCGCUGCAUUAGCUAGUUGGUAAGGUAACGGCUUACCAAGGCAACGAUGCAUAGCCGACCUGAGAGGGUGAUCGGCCACACUGGAACUGAGCCACGGUCCAGACGCCUACGGGAGGCAGCAGUAGGGAAUCUUCCGCAAUGGGCGAAAGCCUGACGGAGCAACGCCGCGUGAGUGAUGAAGGUCUUCGGAUCGUAAAACUCUGUUAUUAGGGAAGAACAUAUGUGUAAGUAACUGUGCACAUCUUGACGGUACCUAAUCAGAAAGCCACGGCUAACUACGUG
This 497-nucleotide ribosomal RNA is filed under the name uncultured bacterium. Its description in RNAcentral is "partial 16S ribosomal RNA". It matches the Rfam family "Bacterial small subunit ribosomal RNA", at positions 28 to 507 of the family's 1533-position model. The record is from RNAcentral.